This is a microRNA precursor of Human immunodeficiency virus 1, 61 nucleotides long. It matches the Rfam family "Trans-activation response element (TAR)". From Rfam's summary of the family: The TAR hairpin acts as a binding site for the Tat protein and this interaction stimulates the activity of the long terminal repeat promoter. Further experiments have shown that TAR acts as a miRNA that protects against apoptosis. The record is from Rfam. Lineage: Riboviria; Pararnavirae; Artverviricota; Revtraviricetes; Ortervirales; Retroviridae.
GGGUCUCUCUAGGCAGACCAGAUUUGAGCCCGGGAGCUCUCUGGCUAUCUAGGGAACCCAC